AUCCGGAGAACUUUCCAGAGAUGGAUUGGUGCCUUCGGGAACUCUGAGACAGGUGCUGCAUGGCUGUCGUCAGCUCGUGUUGUGAAAUGUUGGGUUAAGUCCCGCAACGAGCGCAACCCUUUAUCCUUUGUUGCCAGCGGUUAGGCCGGGAACUCAAAGGAGACUGCCAGUGAUAAACUGGAGGAAGGUGGGGAUGACGUCAAGUCAUCAUGGCCCUUACGAGUAGGGCUACACACGUGCUACAAUGGCGCAUACAAAGAGAAGCGACCUCGCGAGAGCAAGCGGACCUCAUAAAGUGCGUCGUAGUCCGGAUUGGAGUCUGCAACUCGACUCCAUGAAGUCGGAAUCGCUAGUAAUCGUGGAUCAGAAUGCCACGGUGAAUACGUUCCCGGGCCUUGUACACACCGCCCGUCACACCAUGGGAGUGGGUUGCAAAAGAAGUAGGUAGCUUAACCUUCGGGAGGGCGCUUACCACUUUGUGAUUCAUGACUGGGGUGAAGUCGUAACAAGGUAGGCGUAGAUGA
Molecule: ribosomal RNA, 524 nt
Filed under: uncultured bacterium
Lineage: Bacteria
Description: bacterial SSU rRNA
Rfam family: Bacterial small subunit ribosomal RNA
Source: RNAcentral